UAUUUAUCCCAUUCCGCUCUCGGCAGCAACUUUACUGCAUUUGGUCUCAGGGCAGAAACGACUCUCAGAAUCAUGGGAUCCGGGGCAGCGUUUCUACUGGUUCUACUGGUACUUUGUGGGCUUCCUGAUGUUGGGGCUUCGGAGGGACAGGACUCCAUUUGGGGAUGUGACGUUUUCCUGGGAUUCUGCCGAAUCGCCUGUUUUGCUCAUGAAAAGUCUGUGGGACCCAAGAAUUGCGCUGAAGGAUUUAUGUGCUGCAUCCCCAGUGUAUACGGGAGACUGUGGUGAAAGGAAACUAAACCAGAUGCACCGACCGGCGUAGGAAUAAACAUGAGUUGCCCCAUCUGCCCCCGGAGACUGACCAGUGGGUGCUGUUUCAUAUCCGGACACUAGGGGUCACUGCUUAGCCGCAGUCUGUAAUGAUCAAUCCCAUUAUCAGUGACUCCUCAUUCUUUUAAUAAACAAUUAUUGAAACGAUUCA
Molecule: long non-coding RNA, 481 nt
Organism: Xenopus tropicalis (tropical clawed frog)
Lineage: Eukaryota; Metazoa; Chordata; Amphibia; Anura; Pipidae
Exons: 3
Source: RefSeq, a predicted model, not a curated record